CUAGUUUAAAAAAAUCUAUGACUACUGAAAAAUCCAAGGAAACAUCUCAUACAUUUCAUGUAUUAAUAAUGAUCUGAUUACUCAAUCUGUCAGUUCUGAGUCAUGUAUACCUACGUUAGAUAAUAGGAAUAGAACUCCACUUUUGACAAAUUCAAACUCAAUUCCAUCUUUGAAUUCAUCGGAAAUAGCACAAUCGCCAAUACUUACCACAGAUUCGGUACAAAGAUCCCCAUCAGUAUCUUCACCAAGAAAUAUAUCUGCAAAAUCAACGCUAUUACCAAAUUCAACAUCUCUUAACAACAGAGAUCCAUUUUUGGAUUUAACAAAUUCGAACUUAGUUCCACCUCUAAAUUCAUCGGAAACAACGCAAAUUUCAAAUUCCAAUAUAGUGCCAAUACAAAGACCAUCUCUAUCAAUUUCUCCACAAAUUGAUAAAUCUUCAAGAUCAACGCCAUCACCAAAAUCAACAUCAAGCAUUCCUAAAUGUAACAUACCUAGUGGAAAAAUGAAUAUCAAUAGUUCAACUCUCAAACCGAGUUAAAGAUAAACAAAAUGAAGGAUCAUGCUUUAGCAAAUUUAAUUCUUAAGGAAUUACAAGAUGCUGAAGAACCAAAUAAAUCAAUGCUUCGAAAGAAAAUUAUGCAAACUUUAAUGGACCAUAUGAAUAACUCGUAAACUGAUUAAUUGCACA
Cyphomyrmex costatus is the source of this 691-nucleotide long non-coding RNA. RefSeq lists it as uncharacterized. The transcript is spliced from 3 exons. NCBI's taxonomy places the organism in Eukaryota, Metazoa, Arthropoda, Insecta, Hymenoptera, Formicidae. The record is from RefSeq and is a predicted model, not a curated record.